Molecule: unclassified non-coding RNA, 235 nt
Filed under: uncultured fungus
Lineage: Eukaryota; Fungi
Description: sequence contains ITS2
Source: RNAcentral
AACGCACAUUGCGCCCUUUGGUAUUCCGAGGGGCACGCCUGUUCGAGCGUCAUUUAAACCAUCAAGCCCUGCUUGGUCUUGGACGCGGUCGAGUGACCCGUCCGUAACCCGUUGGCGGUGCAGUCCGGCUUCAAGCGUAGCAAGAAUUUCGCUUCAGGAGCCCGCGGCGGCGUCUGCCAGGAAACACCACCCAAAGUUUGACCUCGGAUCAGGUGAGGAUACCCGCUGAACUUAA